GGCGGUGUAGCUCAGUGGCUAGAGCGAGUGAUUCAUAAUCACUGUGUCGUGGGUUCGAGUCCCACCGCCGCCACCA
RNAcentral lists this transfer RNA (76 nucleotides) under Thermotogota bacterium. RNAcentral describes it as "Thermotogae bacterium tRNA-Met". It matches the Rfam family "tRNA". Rfam says of the family: Transfer RNA (tRNA) molecules are approximately 80 nucleotides in length. Lineage: Bacteria; Thermotogati; Thermotogota. The record is from RNAcentral. RNAcentral also lists the same sequence under 2 other names.